CCGAUGGCGACCGGCGCACGGGUGAGUAACGCGUAUCCAACCUGCCCUUUACUAUGGGACAGCCCGUCGAAAGGCGGAUUAAUACCGUAUGUUGUCAUGUUGAUGCAUAUUUUCAUGACCAAAGGCUUCGGCCGGUAAAGGAUGGGGAUGCGUCUGAUUAGCUUGCCGGCGGGGUAACGGCCCACCGGGGCGACGAUCAGUAGGGGUUCUGAGAGGAAGGUCCCCCACAUUGGAACUGAGACACGGUCCAAACUCCUACGGAAGGCAGCAG
RNAcentral lists this ribosomal RNA (271 nucleotides) under uncultured bacterium. RNAcentral's name for it is "partial 16S ribosomal RNA". It matches the Rfam family "Bacterial small subunit ribosomal RNA", at positions 85 to 354 of the family's 1533-position model. The record is from RNAcentral.